This 574-nucleotide long non-coding RNA is filed under the name Oryza brachyantha (malo sina). RNAcentral's name for it is "long non-coding RNA (OBRA_LNC002439)". Lineage: Eukaryota; Viridiplantae; Streptophyta; Magnoliopsida; Poales; Poaceae. The record is from RNAcentral.
AGUGCAACUCUGUUAGCAUAAAUCUAAUUAUCUAAAGUCCAUGCACUGCCUUUUUCUCUCUAUAUAUAAACUCUCGAUUACGAAAUGUUGCUGAAUUCACAUAUUGUUUUCUACAAGAGCUACAAACUUAGUUUGGGAGUCAUCAGAAAAGCAGAGAAAGUAAAACAAAUGGCUAUUUGGACAUGGAUGUUUGGGCAUACUUGCUGCAGAUGAUGAUAGGGAAAACUAUCAUCCCAGUGCUGUAUGAUUGAGGAUGACGACCGGCUUUAGCUACUUGGUCAACUGAAUGGUGAUCAACACAAUGAAACUUGAAAAUAGGACCUACCUCGUUUUCUUCAAAGUUUAUAAUCAACGUGAUUAGCCAUGUUCUAUUGGGAUUGAUAGGAUCUGCGAAGAAAAAAAAAGAGCCACAAUAUUUCUAUUACUGCACCUGCCGGAGUUGUUACUGUUUCUGUUAGAAGUUUAAAACUUGAAAUUGAGAAGGCUAAGUUCGAUUUAUGCAAUGCGCAAGCAACAGUGGUGAUCUGAUACCAUCAACUUCAUUGUUCACUUUGUAGUGUUUGGUGACUCAUGU